GAUGAACGCUGGCGGCGUGCCUAAUACAUGCAAGUCGAGCGAACAGACGAGGAGCUUGCUCCUCUGACGUUAGCGGCAGACGGGUGAGUAACACGUGGAUAACCUACCUAUAAGACUGGGAUAACUUCGGGAAACCGGAGCUAAUACCGGAUAAUAUAUUGAACCGCAUGGUUCAAUAGUGAAAGACGGUUUUGCUGUCACUUAUAGAUGGAUCCGCGCCGCAUUAGCUAGUUGGUAAGGUAACGGCUUACCAAGGCAACGACGCGUAGCCGACCUGAGAGGGUGAUCGGCCACACUGGAACUGAGACACGGUCCAGACUCCUACGGGAGGCAGCAGUAGGGAAUCUUCCGCAAUGGGCGAAAGCCUGACGGAGCAACGCCGCGUGAGUGAUGAAGGUCUUCGGAUCGUAAAACUCUGUUAUUAGGGAAGAACAAAUGUGUAAGUAACUAUGCACGUCUUGACGGUACCUAAUCAGAAAGCCACGGCUAACUACGUG
Molecule: ribosomal RNA, 497 nt
Filed under: uncultured bacterium
Lineage: Bacteria
Description: partial 16S ribosomal RNA
Rfam family: Bacterial small subunit ribosomal RNA
Source: RNAcentral